AAAACAUACAAUCUUCCUAGUGUUUAACUAUCUCUCUACCAGUUGCCAGUCAGUUUCCUUCCUUGAUUUUCCCUGAUGUUUAGCUAUUAAAUAGGUUAAUCUAUCCAUAUUUUUUAUUUCUGAUAUUUUAAUUAACCAUUCUUCUUUAGUGGGGAUUUCUUUUUGCCUCCAAUAUCUAGUGUAUGUAAUUCUGGCCGCUGUUGUAAGUAAGUCAUCGUUUUUUUCUUCGUUUAGGUUUAGGGAGACUUCAAAAAUUCCCAAUAAGUAAGUUUCUGGUAUUUUUGUAAAUUUUAUAUCUAUAAUUGUCUGUACACAUUCAUGAAUUAUUGACCAAAAUUCUUUUGCUUUUUUGCAUCCCCACCAAAUAUGGUGAUAGGUGCCUUCUUCUUCUCCACAUUUCCAACAUUUAUAAUUAUUGCUUUUAUUUAUAAUUGCUAAUUUUUUUGGGGGGGGGGAGGGUUAUGUGCCACCUAUGAAACAUUUUCAUCCAAUUUUCUUUUAGUUGGUAGGCGUAUGUAAAUUUGAGUUUCCUGCCCCAACAGGAUUCCCAUUCCUCCAUUUGGAUUGGCCUCCCUAUAUCUUUAGACAAUUUAAUCAUGCAGUUUUUAACUACAGUAGAGUCUCACUUAUCCAAGCUAAAUGGGCUGGCAGAAGCUUGGAUAAGCGAAUAUCUUGGAUAAUAAGGAGGGAUUAAGGAAAAGCCUAUUAAACAUCAAACUGGGUUAUGAUUUUACAAAUUAAGCACCAAAACGUCAUGUUAUACAACAAAUUUGUCAGAAAAGGUAGUUCAAUACGCAGUAAUGUUAUGUUGUAAUUACUGUAUUUAUUUAUUUAUUUAUUUAUUUAUUUGCUACAUUUAUAUGCCGCCCUUCUCACCCCGAAGGGGACUCAGAGCGGCUUACAAAUUAAAUUUACAUACAAUAUUAUAUUAGUAUAGUACAAUACUGGUAACAAAUUACUAUAUUGUACUGUAUCAACAUAUUGUAAUAUUAUUAGUAAUAUUACAUGUAAAAUAUGAUAUAUAAUUAAUAUUAUUAUAUUGUAUUAUUAGUAUUAUAUCGUAUUGCAA
Molecule: long non-coding RNA, 1069 nt
Filed under: Anolis carolinensis (green anole)
Lineage: Eukaryota; Metazoa; Chordata; Lepidosauria; Squamata; Anolidae
Description: lncRNA (ENSACAG00000035346.1)
Source: RNAcentral